This 497-nucleotide ribosomal RNA is filed under the name uncultured bacterium. Its description in RNAcentral is "partial 16S ribosomal RNA". It matches the Rfam family "Bacterial small subunit ribosomal RNA", at positions 28 to 507 of the family's 1533-position model. The record is from RNAcentral.
GAUGAACGCUGGCGGCGUGCCUAAUACAUGCAAGUCGAGCGAACAGACGAGGAUCUUGCUCCUCUGACGUUAGCGGCGGACGGGUGAGUAACACGUGGAUAACCUACCUAUAAGACUGGGAUAACUUCGGGAAACCGGAGCUAAUACCGGAUAAUAUAUUGAACCGCAUGGUUCAAUAGUGAAAGACGGUUUUGCUGUCACUUAUAGAUGGAUCCGCGCCGCAUUAGCUAGUUGGGAAGGUAACGGCUUACCAAGGCGACGAUGCGUAGCCGACCUGAGAGGGUGAUCGGCCAGACUGGAACUGAGACACGGUCCAGACUCCUACGGGAGGCAGCAGUAGGGAAUCUUCCGCAAUGGGCGAAAGCCUGACGGAGCAACGCCGCGUGAGUGAUGAAGGUCUUCGGAUCGUAAAACUCUGUUAUUAGGGAAGAACAAAUGUGUAAGUAACUAUGCACGUCUUGACGGUACCUAAUCAGAAAGCCACGGCUAACUACGUG